AGGCUUUUCAUGGCUACAAGCCAGCUGUGAGCCCGAAACUAAAGUGAUAUCAAGAACCUCCUUCCUGGUAGAAGUUACGAAGGUGGGUUUGUUUCCAAAGUUACAAAUUCCUAACUCGUUUUCUAAAAUGGAAUCAAGUAGGACUCAAGCCCGCUAUCUAGGGUUCCUGGACCAGAACUAAGUCCUCCGCUUUCUCGCAGAGGCGCAGAAUGAGGGCAGCCGACGCUGCUGUGGAUUGGUCCAGAUUAAUCAGGAUCUGCACCUUUUCGGGAGAUUGAGAGGUCCAUGGAACUGACCUCCUCUGCCUCGGGGGGGUUUAUAAUAGUAGUGUAGCUAUCCUCUCCUUCAGUGCCGGUUUCGAGUACAUUUUUUCUCAGCGGUUGAAAGUCGUCCCGACGAACUCGGAUACCUAGAGCGUUUCGCUUUCAGAAUCCUAUUCGGAACAGAUGGAUAGUAAACCCUCUUGCAGAGUUCUCUACUACUCUAGCUUGGCUCUGAUGAAGUAGAAGCCGUAGCUUAAUUUUCCCCAAGGUCUGCGAGAGCUGGGAGGGAGGCAUCGCAUAUGACAAUUCUCACAAAGCGUUGCUUCUCCUUGACCUCGCCAACUUGGGAUAUCAGCGGUGGGUUGCACCUCUUUGGUUGGAUGAGUUCCAAAAUAUCCUUUUGAUCGGCAGGCUCUGCUGGCACCCAAGCUUACUAGGGAUCUCCUCUUUCAGCGAUAGCCUCUUUGUAGAGUUUUACCGCUCUAUCGUCAGCGCACGCCACAAGUUUUACGUGGUCUUUGUGCCACCCUGCGUCGCGCACUACGGGUCCAGAGCCAGGAUGUCUUUGCAGUAACCCUUUGUACACCUUACACAGACCCUGAUUUUCUUUUCCUUUCCCUUUUCCUUUUCCGUGUCGGCCCAUUCGGCCCCAUCGAUACGAUUCCCGAGGGAUUUUUGGAAGUUUUGGUGAGGCCGUGACCAAAAGCUGCAUUUUUACCCGUCCAGGGAUCUGAGACUGGAUUGUUUUUGUACAUAAUAACAACUGGUUUGUUAGUCACCUACUAAGCCGAAACCUUUCGUUGACCGGAAAAAAGAGGAAGAGGAUUUAAACGGUCGACUACGGCAAAGCCCCGUGCCGCAGCAAGUCACCAUUACUCCCGUAGGUGGACCGGUAUCCGGAAGGCUCCGUUAGAGUACAGUAGGACGCCCCUGACUGCAUACCAUCCAUUAGUUGGUCCAACAGGGCACUUUUGAAAGGAUGCGAUUCCUCAUCGCGCACUAACGGUCUUGGUACGAGAGACGUUAAUUGCAGCUCAGUUGGCAGCUGUAUUCCGCUUCAACGUAACCUGCACUUAGCUCGACCCCCACACUAUUCUUAAGUGACAAACUUUCAAUUUCACCCAGUCUUUUAGGCAAAAUUUUUUUUAUGCAAUUGUAUUUCGAUUGCAUAUUUUUUUGUUAAUUUUUAUAUUUUAUUUUACACAGAACGGCCAAACCUUCCAGAUUAGACUGCAGCCAUGUUUAAGUGAGCAUUUGUUUUAAUCAUAAUAGAAUUUGUUAAUGUUUAUUUAAGUUGCAUUGCGCAUUAACUUAAUCAAAAUAAGUGAAAAUAUUUAAACAAAUGGAAGUACUAUUUGCGUUCCGUAAAGGAAAAGUAAAGAGAAAUAACAUUUCAUAAGGAAAAAAUGUGAAGAAACUAACAAUUUUUAACAACAAAUAACUCAUAAACUAUAAUAUAUUUAAAUUCGCUUUACUCCAAAAGAACAUGCGGAAAUAGUUACAAUGUACAUUGAAUUCAGUUGUUGCAACACAGCAUGCGUAUCGAGCAGAGUAUCGCGGCUGAGCUGCGCCUAAAAGUGACACUAUUCAUCCCUUGGCUUCAAAUUUCGAGACUCACGGGAGACUAACACAACGGAGUUAACGUUAAAAUUCUAGGGAGGGGAUAUCGACGAUCCGCCAAGAUCGCCCGAGUUGACAGCACCAGACUUUCUUAUGGGGCUUUUUGAAAAGCAAAAUGUAUGCCAACAAACCGAAGACUUUGGUCUAGUUGAAGAACAACAUUCGAUCUGAAAUCGCUGUGAUAUCGUCCGAAAUGCUGGCAAAUGUCAUAUAAAAUCCCGAAAAAGAACGAAGUAUUCUUUGCGCAAUGAAGGAGGUCAUUUGAUCGUCGUUGUUUUUCGAAUUUAGCUGGGAAAAAUUAUGGCGCACCGUCCAAAAUAUUGGAAAAAAAGACAUCUGUCAAAUCAUUCCUACAAAGUUUCAUGUCGAAAUUCUUGCUAUACGAAAUAGGAAGCGCCUGUCCUAGAGGUAAGUUGAGACCGCCAUGGUGGGGCUCGGAUCUAGCAGAUAUAGGGAAAGAUACUGAAAGAUUCUUUAAUGCAGCUACUGACAUCCCCUCAAGAAAAAUAUUAGACACCCGAAUGAUUCUUUUUUCCUCAUUAGCCUGAACGUCGAUCAUCGGAUGAUUUCCCUUAAUGGCAUUUAACCUUGCAAUGCUGGGGGCAUAUAUUAGUUCCAGUGAAUGUCCAAAUUUCUAAAAAUCUAAAAUUAUGUAAAUUUAUUAUAUACUUUUUUACAGCACAUUUAGUUUAACUAUACAGAAAUAUCUUCACUGUCCAAAAUUAAUGAAAGGGUUAAGCAUGUCAGCAGAGGUCAAUAAUGACGUGAUAUCAUGUACGUGCGUAGAGCGAACUAAAGCGGAUGGAUAUGCGGGAUAUUUAA
This is a long non-coding RNA of Ceratitis capitata (Mediterranean fruit fly), 2705 nucleotides long. RefSeq lists it as uncharacterized. NCBI's taxonomy places the organism in Eukaryota, Metazoa, Arthropoda, Insecta, Diptera, Tephritidae. The record is from RefSeq and is a predicted model, not a curated record. The transcript has 3 exons.